GACGAACGCUGGCGGCGUGCCUAAUACAUGCAAGUAGAACGCACAGUUUAUACCGUAGCUUGCUACACCAUAGACUGUGAGUUGCGAACGGGUGAGUCACGCGUAGGUAACCUGCCUGGUAGCGGGGGAUAACUAUUGGAAACGAUAGCUAAUACCGCAUCAUCUUAAUUAUUGCAUGAUAAUUAAUUGAAAGGUGCAAUUGCACCACUACUAGAUGGACCUGCGUUGUAUUAGCUAGUAGGUGAGGUAACGGCUCACCUAGGCGACGAUACAUAGCCGACCUGGAGAGGUGAUCGGCCACACUGGGACUGGGACACGGCCCAGGAUCCUACGGGAGGCAGCAGUAGGGAAUCUUCGGCAAUGGACGAAAGUCUGACCGCGCAACGCCGCGGGAGUGAAGAAGGGUUUCGGAUCGGAAAGGUCUGUUGUAAGAGAAGAACGGGUGGGAGGGUGGAAAGUUCACACUGUGACGGUAUCUAAACAGAAAGAGACGGCUAACUACGUG
RNAcentral lists this ribosomal RNA (505 nucleotides) under uncultured bacterium. RNAcentral describes it as "partial 16S ribosomal RNA". It matches the Rfam family "Bacterial small subunit ribosomal RNA", at positions 28 to 507 of the family's 1533-position model. The record is from RNAcentral.